GGAGUCUAGCAUGUGCGCAAGUCAUUGGGCAUUACUAAACCCAAAGGCGAAGUGAAAGCAAAGCCUGUGCCUGAGUGCAGGUUAGGUGUGAUCUGGAUGCCACCCAGUGGUCCCGGCGCAACACCGGCCCGUCCUUAACUGUCUUUGCAGUGGGGCGGAGCAAGAGCGCACAUGCUGAAACCCGAAAGAUGGUGAACUAUGCUUGGGCAGGCUGAAGCCAGAGGAAACUCUGGUGGAGGGCCGUAGCGAUUCUGACGUGCAAAUCGAUCGUCAGAUCUGAGCAUAGGGGCGAAAGACUAAUCGAGCCAUCUAGUAGCUGGUUCCCUCCGAAGUUUCCCUCAGGAUAGCUGGUUCACUUGCACAAUACAUUUGUUUCCGGUAAAGCGAAUGAUUGGAAGUAAUGGGGACGAAAUGCUCUCAGCUUACUCUCACACUUUAAAUGGGUAAAGCGCUUAUCUCUCUUAAUUGGAGAUUAGCAAGAAUGUGUGUAACUAGUGGGCCAUUUUUGGUAAGCAGAACUGGUGCUGAGGGAUGAACCUAACACUUAGCUAAGGUGUCUAAUGGGUCGUUCAUGAGACACCAUGAAAGGUGUUGGUUGAUAUAGACAGCAGGACGGUGGCCAUGGAAGUUGGAAUCCGCUAAGGAGUGUGUAACAACUCACCUGCCGAAUCAACCAGCCCUGAAAAUGGAUGACGCUUGAGCGAAUUACCUAUGCUAAGUCCUGAUACCGAUGCAAUUGCUCACAGGUAUCAGGAGUAGGAGGGUACCUUGGUGAGCGCUGAAGCCUCGCUGUGAAGUGGGGUGGAGCCGCCAAGGCAGCUGAUCUCGGUGGUAGUA
RNAcentral lists this ribosomal RNA (837 nucleotides) under Duplominona sp. 71862. RNAcentral's name for it is "eukaryotic LSU rRNA". It matches the Rfam family "Eukaryotic large subunit ribosomal RNA", at positions 670 to 1462 of the family's 3401-position model. Lineage: Eukaryota; Metazoa; Platyhelminthes; Proseriata; Monocelididae. The record is from RNAcentral.